This 337-nucleotide unclassified non-coding RNA is filed under the name soil metagenome. RNAcentral describes it as "partial contains 5.8S ribosomal RNA, internal transcribed spacer 2, and large subunit ribosomal RNA". The stretch from base 1 to 120 matches the Rfam family "5.8S ribosomal RNA", at positions 35 to 154 of the family's 154-position model. The record is from RNAcentral.
GAUGAAGAACGUAGCGAAAUGCGAUAAGUAAUGUGAAUUGCAGAAUUCAGUGAAUCAUCGAAUCUUUGAACGCACAUUGCGCCCGCCAGUAUUCUGGCGGGCAUGUCUGUUCGAGCGUCAUUUCAACCAUCAAGCCCCCCGGCUUGUGUUGGGGACCUGCGGCUGCCGCAGGCCCUGAAAAGCAGUGGCGGGCUCGCUGUCACACCGAGCGUAGUAGCAUACAUCUCGCUCUGGGCGUGCUGCGGGUUCCGGCCGUUAAACCACCUUCAUAACCCAAGGUUGACCUCGGAUCAGGUAGGAAGACCCGCUGAACUUAAGCAUAUCAAUAAGCGGAGGA